UACGAGAGCCCCGAGCGUUAUCCGGAAUUAUUGGGCGUAAAGGGUGCGUAGGCGGUUCUGUUAGUCGUUUGUUAAAUCCCCGGGCUUAACCCGGAAAUCGCGAACGAAACGGCAGAACUUGAGAGUGUGAGGGGUAUAGGGAACUCAUGGUGUAGGAGUGAAAUCCGUUGAUAUCAUGGGGAACACCAAAAGCGAAGGCACUAUACUGGCACACAUCUGACGCUGAAGCACGAAAGCGUGGGUAGCGAAUGGG
RNAcentral lists this ribosomal RNA (253 nucleotides) under uncultured bacterium. RNAcentral's name for it is "partial 16S ribosomal RNA". It matches the Rfam family "Bacterial small subunit ribosomal RNA", at positions 524 to 776 of the family's 1533-position model. The record is from RNAcentral.